UGGGGCGGUCUCCUCCUAAAGAGUAACGGAGGAGCACGAAGGUUGGCUAAUCCUGGUCGGACAUCAGGAGGUUAGUGCAAUGGCAUAAGCCAGCUUGACUGCGAGCGUGACGGCGCGAGCAGGUGCGAAAGCAGGUCAUAGUGAUCCGGUGGUUCUGAAUGGAAGGGCCAUCGCUCAACGGAUAAAAGGUACUCCGGGGAUAACAGGCUGAUACCGCCCAAGAGUUCAUAUCGACGGCGGUGUUUGGCACCUCGAUGUCGGCUCAUCACAUCCUGGGGCUGAAGUAGGUCCCAAGGGUAUGGCUGUUCGCCAUUUAAAGUGGUACGCGAGCUGGGUUUAGAACGUCGUGAGACAGUUCGGUCCCUAUCUGCCGUGGGCGCUGGAGAACUGAGGGGGGCUGCUCCUAGUACGAGAGGACCGGAGUGGACGCAUCACUGGUGUUCGGGUUGUCAUGCCAAUGGCACUGCCCGGUAGCUAAAUGCGGAAGAGAUAAGUGCUGAAAGCAUCUAAGCACGAAACUUGCCCCGAGAUGAGUUCUCCCUGAGACUUAGAGUCUCCUGAAGGAACGUUGAAGACGACGACGUUGAUAGGCCGGGUGUGUAAGCGCAGCGAUGCGUUGAGCUAACCGGUACUAAUGAACCGUGAGGCUUAACCUUACAACGCCGAAGGUGUUU
Molecule: ribosomal RNA, 674 nt
Filed under: Salmonella enterica subsp. enterica serovar Infantis
Lineage: Bacteria; Pseudomonadati; Pseudomonadota; Gammaproteobacteria; Enterobacterales; Enterobacteriaceae
Description: partial 23S ribosomal RNA
Rfam family: Bacterial large subunit ribosomal RNA
Source: RNAcentral